GAGGAUAUUGCUCAAGCGGCAGAGCGCAUGCUUGGCAGGCAUGGGGUCCUGGGUUCAAUCCCUAGCACCUCCU
RNAcentral lists this transfer RNA (73 nucleotides) under Camelus ferus (Wild Bactrian camel). It matches the Rfam family "tRNA". Rfam says of the family: Transfer RNA (tRNA) molecules are approximately 80 nucleotides in length. The record is from Rfam by way of RNAcentral. Lineage: Eukaryota; Metazoa; Chordata; Mammalia; Artiodactyla; Camelidae.